RNAcentral lists this ribosomal RNA (492 nucleotides) under uncultured bacterium. RNAcentral's name for it is "partial 16S ribosomal RNA". It matches the Rfam family "Bacterial small subunit ribosomal RNA", at positions 29 to 507 of the family's 1533-position model. The record is from RNAcentral.
AGUGAACGCUGGCGGUAGGCCUAACACAUGCAAGUCGAACGGCAGCACAGUAAGAGCUUGCUCUUACGGGUGGCGAGUGGCGGACGGGUGAGGAAUACAUCGGAAUCUACUUUUUCGUGGGGGAUAACGUAGGGAAACUUACGCUAAUACCGCAUACGACCUACGGGUGAAAGCAGGGGAUCUUCGGACCUUGCGCGAAUGAAUGAGCCGAUGUCGGAUUAGCUAGUUGGCGGGGUAAAGGCCCACCAAGGCGACGAUCCGUAGCUGGUCUGAGAGGAUGAUCAGCCACACUGGAACUGAGACACGGUCCAGACUCCUACGGGAGGCAGCAGUGGGGAAUAUUGGACAAUGGGCGCAAGCCUGCUCCAGCCAUACCGCGUGGGUGAAGAAGGCCUUCGGGUUGUAAAGCCCUUUUGUUGGGAAAGAAAAGCAGCAGGUUAAUACCCCGCUGUUCUGACGGUACCCAAAGAAUAAGCACCGGCUAACUUCGUG